CAGUAGCCGCGGUAAUACGUAGGUGGCAAGCGUUGUCCGGAAUUAUUGGGCGUAAAGGGCUCGCAGGCGGUUUCUUAAGUCUGAUGUGAAAGCCCCCGGCUCAACCGGGGAGGGUCAUUGGAAACUGGGAAACUCGAGUGCAGAAGAGGAGAGUGGAAUUCCACGUGUAGCGGUGAAAUGCGUAGAGAUGUGGAGGAACACCAGUGGCGAAGGCGACUCUCUGGUCUGUAACUGACGCUGAGGAGCGAAAGCGUGGGGAGCGAACAGGAUUAGAUACCCCCGUAGUCCCUGUCUCUUAUAA
RNAcentral lists this ribosomal RNA (301 nucleotides) under uncultured bacterium. Its description in RNAcentral is "partial 16S ribosomal RNA". It matches the Rfam family "Bacterial small subunit ribosomal RNA", at positions 509 to 809 of the family's 1533-position model. The record is from RNAcentral.